AUUAUUAAAUUGCUUUGAAGGCAACUUGUUUAAUUUAGUCAUCUUUGUAAAUCCAUAUAUUUCUGUAUUGAUGUAGCUUGUAAUUUUAUAGCUUGCUAAACCACAAGUCUGGAUGAUAGUUCUUCAAGUCUGAGUCAGCCUCAUAAAUAAUGUAAGCUUAUGGUAGUGUGCUUUACAUAAGAUGAUCAAACAAUGGCUUUCUUUAAAUUUGUAGGAAUUUUCUCAAAAGCUAUGGUUGUUACCUGCUAGGUUGUUUUGUCAAGUUUGACAGCAAAAUUAUUUACAUGUCAGGUUUGUGGUUGUUUACUGCAGAUUUAAAAGAAGAAAAAAAAAAUUCUGGUGUUGAUGUAUGUCUGCAAGAUAGACAGACAUGCAGACAUUUUUGUUAUGAAGUGCCUUAGUUGAGGGUUUCAAGCCUGUUUAUAAUUUUCCUUUUCUGCUAAUUAUUGGUGUAUUUAAUACUAUCACUAGUAUUUAUUCCAUCGAGUGACUGUCAGGUUGACUAGUUUACAAUGUUCUGAGUUGUUGGUCAUGGCUGGAGGCAAAUACCUGUUAAUGUAAUAUGAAGAUAAUUUUAUGAAAUUAUUACAUGCAAACAAUGUAAAAAAA
Octopus sinensis (East Asian common octopus) is the source of this 609-nucleotide long non-coding RNA. RefSeq lists it as uncharacterized. The record is from RefSeq and is a predicted model, not a curated record. The transcript is spliced from 2 exons. NCBI's taxonomy places the organism in Eukaryota, Metazoa, Mollusca, Cephalopoda, Octopoda, Octopodidae.